GUCGAACGCCCCGCAAGGGGAGUGGCAGACGGGUGAGUAACGCGUGGGAACAUACCCUUUCCUGCGGAAUAGCUCCGGGAAACUGGAAUUAAUACCGCAUACGCCCUUUGGGGGAAAGAUUUAUCGGGGAAGGAUUGGCCCGCGUUGGAUUAGCUAGUUGGUGGGGUAAAGGCCUACCAAGGCGACGAUCCAUAGCUGGUCUGAGAGGAUGAU
RNAcentral lists this ribosomal RNA (213 nucleotides) under Rhizobium sp. LR63. RNAcentral describes it as "partial 16S ribosomal RNA". It matches the Rfam family "Bacterial small subunit ribosomal RNA", at positions 61 to 304 of the family's 1533-position model. The record is from RNAcentral. Lineage: Bacteria; Pseudomonadati; Pseudomonadota; Alphaproteobacteria; Hyphomicrobiales; Rhizobiaceae.